This 469-nucleotide ribosomal RNA is filed under the name uncultured bacterium. RNAcentral's name for it is "bacterial SSU rRNA". It matches the Rfam family "Bacterial small subunit ribosomal RNA", at positions 28 to 507 of the family's 1533-position model. The record is from RNAcentral.
GACGAACGCUGGCGGCGUGCCUAACACAUGCAAGUCGAGCGGAGGAUGCGGCGUAGUAAUACAAAGUACUUUAGCGGCGGACGGGUGAGUAACACGUGGGUAACCUGCCUCAGAGUGGGGGAUAGCCUUUCGAAAGGAAGAUUAAUACCGCAUAAGAUUGUAGCGUCACAUGGCGCAGCAAGAAAAGGAGCAAUCCGCUUUGAGAUGGACCCGCGGCGCAUUAGCUAGUUGGUGAGGUAACGGCUCACCAAGGCCACGAUGCGUAGCCGACCUGAGAGGGUGAUCGGCCACAUUGGAACUGAGACACGGUCCAGACUCCUACGGGAGGCAGCAGUGGGGAAUAUUGCACAAUGGGCGAAAGCCUGAUGCAGCAACGCCGCGUGAGUGAUGAAGGCCUUCGGGUCGUAAAGCUCUUUGAUCAGGGAUGAUAAUGACAGUACCUGAAAAACAAGCCACGGCUAACUACGUG